AUGAAAGUAGUAGGAAGAAAAUUGGAAAGAAGUCUGUACAAAUAAAAGCUAAGGGAGAAAAGUCUGAGCAGCACAAGAUCCAGUCAAUUCCCUGCUUCCAGUCCUACAGAGAGAAGAUUUCAUGCCACUCUCCCACUUCCCAGGUCCCUUUCUCCUGUUUUGUGAGAAGGCACAGUAUCUUGUCACUAACUCUAAAUAGUUUGUGGAUCUGAGGGUGCACAGGUGUGCUGUGGAUAUGCUGAGCCACCUGAUCACGUACCAUGGCAAAAUGGAAAUACGGUUACACCCUGAGAGAGAGCACAGCUGACUGCCAAGGUCCCGAAAACCUUUCCAACACAUUGCACAAGUGUGGAAGUGGUACAAGAAAAGCAUGAUGCAAAGCAGUCUGCAGCUCUCCACACGGAUCACUACACAAUAGCCUCGCAUGGAGGCCGGAGACAAACUCCCAGUGAUUCAAACAGCAACUUCACAGGACUGUACUUACCGAGGGAGAGAAAAGGGAGGAGUAUGCCCUUUGGGAAGAAGGUGGAAAAGCGCCUGGUGUCAUCCUAAGAAAGACUUACAUGGUAGCAUGAGCAACACCAGUGGGAUGUUGAAAUGCUACCCAGCUGGGUGUUUGGCAUGAUGAUACACGAAGGUGGGGUAGAUAAACGGUGCCCGCUGAUAACACUGGACUGCCCAGAGUGUGCUCCCGCGUCACCAUUACCAGGCUCAUUACGCACGGUCCAUAUUUGAUCACUGACGACAGACCUCCUCACUGCUUUGCAAGGCAUGAAUGGCUCACUGCUUAGGGACAGGCUGCAUAUUAUUCAGUGCUUCGGUUCUGAAGAACUCAGCACUAUCAGACAUACAGGAUGACUGCUCGUGUGGCUGUCUUUUAAGCAGUCGCUAACCAUCUCUAACACAUUUUCACCCAUUGCAUCUCCUAAAUUUCUUCACAGCAUUACAUGGAGCGUGUAAUAACUAAAAUGAAAU
Molecule: long non-coding RNA, 975 nt
Organism: Cygnus atratus (black swan)
Lineage: Eukaryota; Metazoa; Chordata; Aves; Anseriformes; Anatidae
Exons: 3
Source: RefSeq, a predicted model, not a curated record